CUACGGAGGGUCCAAGCGUUAUCCGGAUUCAUUGGGUUUAAAGGGUCCGCAGGCGGGAAAAUAAGUCAGUGGUGAAAGCCUACAGCUCAACUGUAGAACUGCCAUUGAUACUGUUUUUCUUGAGUAUAUAUGAAGUGGGCGGAAUAUAUCAUGUAGCGGUGAAAUGCAUAGAUAUGAUAUAGAACACCGAUUGCGAAGGCAGCUCACUAAACUAUUACUGACGCUCAGGGACGAAAGCGUGGGGAGCGAACAGAAUUAGAAACCCCAGUAGUCC
Molecule: ribosomal RNA, 274 nt
Filed under: uncultured bacterium
Lineage: Bacteria
Description: partial 16S ribosomal RNA
Rfam family: Bacterial small subunit ribosomal RNA
Source: RNAcentral